RNAcentral lists this unclassified non-coding RNA (211 nucleotides) under Mycolicibacterium thermoresistibile. Its description in RNAcentral is "partial 16S-23S ribosomal RNA intergenic spacer". Lineage: Bacteria; Bacillati; Actinomycetota; Actinomycetes; Mycobacteriales; Mycobacteriaceae. The record is from RNAcentral.
CUCCUUUCUAAGGAGCACCACGAGAAACAUCCCCGGUUGGUGGGGGUGUGUGCCGUGUGGAGUCGGUUGCUGUAGUGGCGCCGGCUGGGUGCGCAACAAACGUGUUCAUCCCUGUGAAACGGGUGUUUUUUGGGGGUGGCGGGAUCACCGGACACACUAUUGGGCUUUGAGGCAACACGCCUGUGUUGUCGCCCCGUCUUUGGUGGUGGGG